CUUCUGCAGACUAAAUGAGGGCAGUGAUUGGCUCGUUUACUCUGCCUACCUUCCCAAGUAACUCUGUGUAACCUCUUGGUUCCCUUGAAGGGUGAUUCGUCAACCCGUGGGCAGGAUUUUCUUUGCGGGCACAGAGACUGCCACAAAGUGGAGCGGCUACAUGGAAGGGGCAGUUGAGGCUGGAGAACGAGCAGCUAGGGAGGUCUUAAAUGGUCUUGGGAAGGUGACCGAGAAAGACAUCUGGGUACAAGAACCUGAAUCAAAGGACGUUCCAGCGGUAGAAAUCACCCACACCUUCUGGGAAAGGAACCUGCCCUCCGUUUCUGGCCUGCUGAAGAUCAUUGGAUUUUCCACAUCAGUUACUGCCCUGGGGUUUGUGCUGUACAAAUACAAGCUCCUGCCACGGUCUUGAAGUUCUGUUCUUAUGCUCUCUGCUCACUGGUUUUCAAUACCACCAAGAGGAAAAUAUUGACAAGUUUAAAGGCUGUGUCAUUGGGCCAUGUUUAAGUGUACUGGAUUUAACUACCUUUGGCUUAAUUCCAAUCAUUGUUAAAGUA
This 557-nucleotide small RNA is filed under the name Pongo abelii (Sumatran orangutan). RNAcentral describes it as "processed transcript". Lineage: Eukaryota; Metazoa; Chordata; Mammalia; Primates; Hominidae. The record is from RNAcentral.